Molecule: long non-coding RNA, 1056 nt
Filed under: Phasianus colchicus (ring-necked pheasant)
Lineage: Eukaryota; Metazoa; Chordata; Aves; Galliformes; Phasianidae
Description: lncRNA (ENSPCLG00000004957.1)
Source: RNAcentral
UUCCCGGCGGGCGCACGGCCGGAGUGCGUCACGCUGCGUGAUCGCCGCGGCGCAGCCAAUGGGUUGCGGGCGGCCGCGCGUGGACAGCGCCCCGAUUGGCGAGAAAACUACAGCUGCCCGGACGGGGGACCAAUGGCGGGGUACGGCCACCACGUGUACAGCUCGUGGAUAAACAGGCAGCGAUGGGGCGGGGCAAAGCCAAGAGCGGGCGGGGCGUAGAGCGCCGGGGCGUGAGGGGGCACGUGGCGGGUCCUGCUGUAGCCCCUGUCCGCGGAACCGUCCCGGUUCUGGCCGCACGGCAGCCGAGGCGCGGCGGGGAGGCCGGGGCCGCCCGGUGAGCCUCAGUUCCUGCCUGCGGGCUGAGGUGGGAGCACUGAGCUGUGGGCUCAGCUUCUCUUUGUGGGUAGUGGGACUCUCAGAGAAUGGAAACAGGCCAAGGUGGUGCAGUGCGAUGCGUUCCCUGUUUGACCUAAAAGCUUGGGAAAACCCACAGCUCUUCAGUGAUAAAUGCACGUAUGCCAGGAAGGGGAGCGGGCCAGCCGGGCAGCGGUGUGGCCCUGUGCCCCAACCCCACGCUACAGCCACAGCCCUGCACCUCACAGAGCCACGCGCCCUCCUGGGCCGGCCGGUGCACUGAGUGUAACGUUUCUGUAUGAGGUUUCCUGUUUUGUGGUUGCCCAAUGCCUCUUCUUGAAGGAACGAGUUGCCCGCGUCUACGCUGGUGACAAAGAAGUGGAGCUUCUGACUCAGCUCUGUGCUUGGGGCUUCCAUUAUCUUCUGCUUCCUGCGUUGUUACAUCCUGGUGAGCCCAGGAAAGAACCAGCUCUGCGCUUCCCCGCUGACUCAGGUGUCAGAACGGCAAACAAAAGGCUGUUUGUAAAAGAUGCAACGUCCCCUUUUUGUCGGUGUUGGCAGUUUAAAGUCAGCCGGGCAGCCGUUAAGGAGGAGAUUUUGGAUGGGGUGUGCUGUGAGAAGGAGCUCGUCUUGAGGAAUUCCAAUUGUUACCUCUUGUAUCCUUUAGCCUCACUGAACAGGGCCUUCUCAUCACUGAGCUAA